UGGUGGAGAUGGUGAUAAUAGUAGUGGUGGUGGUGGUGGUGGAGAUAGUGAUAAUAGUAGUGGUGGUGGUGGUGGUGGUGAUAGUGAUAAUAGUAGUGGUGGUGGUGGUGGUGGAGAUAGUGAUAAUAGUAGUGGUGGUGGUGAUGGUGGAGAUGGUGAUAAUAGUAGUGGUGGUGGUGGUGGUGGUAAUAGUGAUAAUAGUAGUGGUGGUGGUGGUGGUGGAGAUGGUGAUAAUAGUAGUGGUGGUGGUGAUGGUGGUGGUGGAGAUAGUGAUAAUAGUAGUGGUGGUGGUGAUGGUAGUGGUGGUGAUGGUGGUGGUGGUGGUGGUGGAGAUGGUGAUAAUAGUAGUGGUGGUGGUGAUGGUAGUGGUGGUGGUAGUGGUGGUGGUGGUGGAGAUAGUGAUAAUAGUAGUGGUGGUGGUGAUGGUAGUGGUGGUGGUGGUGGAGAUGGUAGUAGAAAUGGUGGUAAUAGUGGUAUUGGUGGUGGUGAUGGUAGUGGUGGUGGUGGUGAUGGUAGUGGUGGUGGUGGUGAUGGUAGUGGAGAUGGUGAUAAUGGUAGUGGUGGUG
Long non-coding RNA from Eriocheir sinensis (Chinese mitten crab), 566 nucleotides. RefSeq lists it as uncharacterized. NCBI's taxonomy places the organism in Eukaryota, Metazoa, Arthropoda, Malacostraca, Decapoda, Varunidae. The transcript is spliced from 3 exons. The record is from RefSeq and is a predicted model, not a curated record.